CGCUGGCGGCAGGCCUUAUACAUGCAAGUCGAGCGCAUCCUUCGGGAUGAGCGGCGGACGGGUGAGUAACGCGUGGGAAUGUGCCCUUCUCUACGGAAUAGCCACUGGAAACGGUGAGUAAUACCGUAUACGCCCUCAGGGGAAAAGAUUUAUCGGAGAAGGAUCAGCCCGCGUUAGAUUAGGUAGUUGGUGGGGUAACGGCCUACCAAGCCUACGAUCUAUAGCUGGUUUUAGAGGAUGAUCAGCCACACUGGGACUGAGACACGGCCCAGACUCCUACGGGAGGCAGCAGUAGGGAAUCUUGGACAAUGGGGGCAACCCUGAUCCAGCCAUGCCGCGUGAGUGAAGAAGGCC
RNAcentral lists this ribosomal RNA (354 nucleotides) under uncultured Paracoccaceae bacterium. RNAcentral describes it as "bacterial SSU rRNA". It matches the Rfam family "Bacterial small subunit ribosomal RNA", at positions 34 to 416 of the family's 1533-position model. The record is from RNAcentral. Lineage: Bacteria; Pseudomonadati; Pseudomonadota; Alphaproteobacteria; Rhodobacterales; Paracoccaceae.